CAAAACACAAGGCAAUCAUGUAGUUUUUCAUACCUGAUUUAGCUCUGAUUUAUAAUGAGUAUAAAUGUAUUCAUUUGGUUGCUUUUGCAGAUUAUUCACAUCGAUGUUACGUUGAGUCUACAAUGUUUGAGCAGGAAGGGCCUUUGCGAUGAUGUAACACAACAUUGUCCAUUUCAAGAAUCCUCUCUACAACAACCCUGUAAGAUGGUCAUCCAUCCUCUCCAAAGAGACCUUGGCUACUGGAAAAUCUGAACCCACAAAUGUGGUUUGCAUAUUUCUAUUGGACAGCCCCGAACUAGCAAGAGCAUGGACACAGAGAUGAGAAAAUGGCCUGGACUGAGAUGCGGUAGAGGAUAAAACGUCAGAAACAAGGACAGGUAGAGUGGCUGGCGAGGGAGAUGGAAAACAAGAAGGGAGUGGUGUUCAGGAAUGAACUGAAGAGUGUUUCAGGGAGAGAGAUCAUCUGCGUGGAUGGCUACUGGGGAGAAGGGUCAAUGAAAACAGGAAAGCCCCUGUUGGGUUAUAUGGAAGGAGGACCUGGUAUAUAUCUGAAUCCCCAGUACUUGGCAUAUUAAAAAACUUAGUAUAUGCUUAU
RNAcentral lists this long non-coding RNA (595 nucleotides) under Equus caballus (horse). RNAcentral's name for it is "lncRNA (ENSECAG00000031622.2)". Lineage: Eukaryota; Metazoa; Chordata; Mammalia; Perissodactyla; Equidae. The record is from RNAcentral.